GUAGGGAAUAUUGCACAAUGGAGGAAACUCUGAUGCAGCGACGCCGCGUGAGUGAUGAAGGCCUUCGGGUCGUAAAACUCUGUGAUAAGGGAAGAUGAUGACGGUACCUUAUCAGAAAAGACCGGCUAACUUCGUGCCAGCAGCCGCGGUAAUACGAGGGGUCUAAGCGUUGUUCGGAAUCACUGGGCGUAAAGCGGGUGUAGGUGGCUAUGCAAGUUGGAUGUGAAAGCCCCGGGCUCAACCCGGGAAGUGCAUCCAAAACUACGUAGCUUGAGUGCGGGAGAGAAAGGCAGAAUUCCUGGUGUAGUGGUGAAAUACGUAGAUAUCAGGAGGAACUCCGGUGGCGAAGGCGGCCUUUUGGCCCAGCACUGACACUCAGACCCGAAAGCGUGGGUAGCAAACAGGAUUAGAUACCCCGGUAGUCC
Molecule: ribosomal RNA, 425 nt
Filed under: uncultured bacterium
Lineage: Bacteria
Description: bacterial SSU rRNA
Rfam family: Bacterial small subunit ribosomal RNA
Source: RNAcentral